CAUGAAUAUUGAGAAGAAACUUAAUUAGAAUAGCAGGUCAGAGGCUCCUAACUGGGCAACUCAAGAUUCUGGCUUCUACUGAAGAACCAUAAAGAAAAGAUGAAAAAAAAACUAUUAAAGAAAGAUGAAAUAAUAAAACUAUUAUAUAAAGGGUGACUUACAUUUUGGAAACAACAUAUUACGUAUAAAUUUUGAAGAAUUGGAAUAAAAUUGAUUCAUUUAAAAAAAA
Molecule: long non-coding RNA, 229 nt
Filed under: Homo sapiens (human)
Lineage: Eukaryota; Metazoa; Chordata; Mammalia; Primates; Hominidae
Description: lncAB334.1
Source: RNAcentral